RNAcentral lists this ribosomal RNA (423 nucleotides) under uncultured bacterium. Its description in RNAcentral is "bacterial SSU rRNA". It matches the Rfam family "Bacterial small subunit ribosomal RNA", at positions 361 to 776 of the family's 1533-position model. The record is from RNAcentral.
AUUUUCCACAAUGGACGAAAGUCUGAUGGAGCAACGCCGCGUGAACGAUGAAGGUCUUCGGAUUGUAAAGUUCUGUUGUCAGGGACGAACAAGUACCGUUCGAACAGGGCGAUACCUUGACGGUACCUGACGAGAAAGCCACGGCUAACUGCGUGCCAGCAGCCGCGGUAAUACGUAGGUGGCAAGCGUUGUCCGGAUUUAUUGGGCGUAAAGCGCGCGCAGGCGGCUAUGUAAGUAUGGUGUUAAAGCCCGGGGCUCAACCCCGGUUCGCAUCGGAAACUGCAGAGCUUGAGUGCAGAAGAGGAAAGCGGUAUUCCACGUGUAGCGGUGAAAUGCGUAGAGAUGUGGAGGAACACCAGUGGCGAAGGCGGCUUUCUGGUCUGUAACUGACGCUGAGGCGCGAAAGCGUGGGGAGCAAACAGG